RNAcentral lists this ribosomal RNA (440 nucleotides) under uncultured bacterium. Its description in RNAcentral is "bacterial SSU rRNA". It matches the Rfam family "Bacterial small subunit ribosomal RNA", at positions 338 to 794 of the family's 1533-position model. The record is from RNAcentral.
CCUACGGGUGGCUGCAGUCGAGAAUAUUCCCCAAUGGCCGAAAGGCUGAGGGAGCGACGCCGCGUGCGGGAAGAAGGCCUUCGGGUCGUAAACCGCUUUUACCAAGGAAGAACCAUGACGGUACUUGGAGAAUAAGAGGUUGCUAACUCUGUGCCAGCAGCAGCGGUAAUACAGAGACCUCGAGCAUUAUCCGGAUUUAUUGGGCGUAAAGGGUCCGCAGGUGGCUGUUCACGUCAACGGUUAAAUUUCAGGGCUCAACUCUGAAACCGCCGUCGAUACGGUUCAGCUCGAGCAUGGGAGAGGUACGCGGAAUUACCGGUGUAGUAGUAAAAUGCGUUAAUAUCGGUAAGAACACCAAAUGCGAAGGCAGCGUACUGGAACAUUGCUGACACUCAGGGACGAAAGCGUGGGGAGCGAAAGGGAUUAGAUACCCCUGUAGU